CCAAACUCUUGCCUGUUCUCACAACCAAACUACACUUGCCUCUGAGUCUCUGAAACAUUGGCUUUAUUGUGGACCUGGGUUCAAGCCGAAGAAAAGCUAUUGUCCCUGACGCUUGUUGCAGGAACAUGGCAGGGUUGGGAGCCAACAGUGAUGUCAUGGUGAAACUUGAUGAUGGGCACUUAAACAACUCCCUGCGUUCUCCAGUUCAAGCUGGCGUGUACUUCCGUGGGCACAUUAAAGGUGGUAUGAGACCAGGCAAGAAGGUAUUAGUGAUGGGCAUCGUAGAUCACAACCCCAAAAGCUUUGCCAUCAGCUUGACUUGUGGUGACUCUGAAGAUCCUCCUGCCGAUGUGGCGAUUGAACUCAAAGUUGUGUUCACAAACCAGCAGGUCUUUAGAAACUCUUGUAUCUCAGGAGAAAGCGACGAAGAGAAUUUGGCAUUUCCUUACUUUCCAUUCGUCCCCGACCAGCCAUUCAGGAUGGAGAUUUUUUGCCAGCAACCGUGUUUCAGAGUGUUGGUGGAUGGACACCACCUUUUUGAUUUUUAUCAUCGUAUUCAAACAUUAUCUGCAAUUGACUCCAUAAAGAUCAGUGGGGACCUCCAGAUUACCAAACUUGGCUGAUGUUUAAAGCACUUCUAUUUCAAAUAUGAUCAAUCAGGUGCCACAACUACAUGUCUGAAAGAGGUGUCCUAGCCAGAUCUGGAGUCUUAAAAAGAAAACAAAAACAAAGACAGACUUCACUGUCUCUUUCUGUGUAGUUUAAGUCUGGAAUGACAACUUCAUCUGUGGUUUGCCCAGAAGAAGAAAGCUGGCAAGAAAGACACAGAGCCAUUAUGCUCAGAAUGAAGUAAUACAUCUAUGCUGGAUUUUAUUCAGACUAAACCAAAAUGGAUUUGUGAUGAUUUGUGAUUUGGUAGCAAUUACUCAUCAUUUCAAAGCAAGGUGAUAUUUAGAAACAAAAGUGCUAAAGACCUUAAAAACAACAAGGGUACAUCAAAUCCGUGCAUUUCUGCACUGACAUGCAAUUGCAUAGCACCACUGACACUUUAGUCAGGGUAUUUACAUAGAGUGCAGAUCGUGCAAAGUUUGGUUCUGCUUUCUUGGGGGUUGUUCUGGUUUUUGGUUUUGUUUUGUUUUUUUGGCACAGCAUCAUGUUAACUUGGAUUUCUAAGCGUUCUUGAUUAAUUUAUUUAUAUUUAGUAUAUGUAUUAAUGUAUCAGAGAAUGAGCAAUGUCUACAAAUUAUGAACUUAGGUUGCAGGGGAAAAUGUAUGCAAAACUAGCAUAAGAUAAGUGGAUUUUUCCCUUAAAGAAUUUGAGUAUAUUCUCCUUACCCCUCAACUUUAGUUUCUUAACAUAAAAUGCUAUAGAUGCUUUUGGGAAAAUUUUUUGCAACACUUCAAUAAAGCUCUAAAGUUCUUGUCGAUUAUGGGAA
RNA transcript from Mus musculus (house mouse), 1436 nucleotides. It is a transcript of the gene named galectin like 2, with no coding region annotated. The record is from RefSeq and is marked validated. Lineage: Eukaryota; Metazoa; Chordata; Mammalia; Rodentia; Muridae. The transcript is spliced from 2 exons.